RNAcentral lists this ribosomal RNA (521 nucleotides) under uncultured bacterium. RNAcentral describes it as "bacterial SSU rRNA". It matches the Rfam family "Archaeal small subunit ribosomal RNA", at positions 345 to 866 of the family's 1478-position model. The record is from RNAcentral.
AACCUCCGCAAUGUACGAAAGUGCGACGGGGGGAUCCCAAGUGUUAUGCUUAAAGGUAUGACUUUUCAUUAGUGUAAAAAGCUUUUAGAAUAAGAGCUGGGCAAGACCGGUGCCAGCCGCCGCGGUAACACCGGCAGCUCGAGUGGUAGCUGUUUUUAUUGGGCCUAAAGCGUUCGUAGCCGGUUUAAUAAGUCUUUGGUGAAAGCUUGUAGCUUAACUAUAAGAAUUGCUGGAGAUACUAUUAGGACUUGAAGUCGGGAGAGGUUAGAGGUACUACCGGGGUAGGGGUGAAAUCCUAUAAUCCUGGGAGGACCACCUGUGGCGAAGGCGUCUAACUGGAACGAUCUUGACGGUGAGUAACGAAAGCCAGGGGCGCGAACCGGAUUAGAUACCCGGGUAGUCCUGGCCGUAAACGAUGUGGACUUGGUGUUGGAAUGGCUUUGAGUUGUUCCGGUGCCGAAGGGAAGCUGUUAAGUCCACCGCCUGGGAAGUACGGUCGCAAGACUGAAACUAAAGGAAUU